UAAUACGGAGUGUGCAAGCGUUACUCGGAAUCACUGGGCAUAAAGCGCGCGUAGGCGGGUUUUCAAGUCGGUUGUGAAAUCCCUCAGCUCAACUGAGGAACUGCAUCCGAUACUGUCUGUCUUGAGGACGAGAGGGGAGAGUGGAACUUCUGGUGGAGCGGUGAAAUGCGUAGAUAUCAGAAGGAACGCCGGUGGCGAAAGCGACUCUCUGGCUCGUAUCUGACGCUGAGGCGCGAAAGCUUGGGUAGCAAACGGGAUUAGAUACCCCGGUAGUCCAAGCCGUAAACGAUGAACACUAGGGAGAGGAGACCCCGAUGUCUUCCCUCCUGGCGCAAAUGUAUUAAGUGUUCCGCCUGGGGAGUACAGUCGCAAGGCCG
RNAcentral lists this ribosomal RNA (377 nucleotides) under uncultured bacterium. Its description in RNAcentral is "bacterial SSU rRNA". It matches the Rfam family "Bacterial small subunit ribosomal RNA", at positions 521 to 896 of the family's 1533-position model. The record is from RNAcentral.